This 497-nucleotide ribosomal RNA is filed under the name uncultured bacterium. RNAcentral's name for it is "partial 16S ribosomal RNA". It matches the Rfam family "Bacterial small subunit ribosomal RNA", at positions 28 to 507 of the family's 1533-position model. The record is from RNAcentral.
GACGAACGCUGGCGGCGUGCCUAAUACAUGCAAGUUGAGCGAUGACGCUUGGUGCUUGCACCCAUUUGAAGAGCAGCGAACGGGUGAGUAACGCGUGGGGCAUCUGCUUCUGAGCGGGGGACAACAUUUGGAAACGAAUGCUAAUACCGCAUAACAACUUUAAACAUAAGUUUUAAGUUUGAAAGAUGCAAUUGCAUCACUCAAAGAUGAUUCCGCGUUGUAUUAGCUAGUUGGUGAGGUAAAGGCUCACCAAGGCGAUGAUACAUAGCCGACCUGAGAGGGUGAUCGGCCACAAUGGGACUGAAGCACGGCCCAAACUCCUUCGGGAGGCAGCAGUAGGGAAUCUUCGGCAAUAGACGAAAGUCUGACCGAGCAACGCCGCGGGAGUGGAGGAGGUUUUCGGAUCGUAAAACUCUGUUGGUAGAGAAGGACGUUGAUGAGAGUGGAAAGCUCAUCAAGUGACGGUAACUACCCAGAAAGGGACGGCUAACUACGUG